This 29-nucleotide non-coding RNA is filed under the name Cricetulus griseus (Chinese hamster). RNAcentral also lists the same sequence under 1 other name. Lineage: Eukaryota; Metazoa; Chordata; Mammalia; Rodentia; Cricetidae. The record is from RNAcentral.
UGAACCGCUACAAGAGGGCAAAGCUGACU